AAUUAGUCAAACUACUGAAUAAUCAAAUGACAUGAGCCUCAUUUUUAAGUUUGUCAAUCAAUUCAUCCACCGAAGAAACAAUAACCCCAGCUUUUCUCUUGGGAGGUUCCGUGACUUCAAUGACCUCUAAAUCAGAUUUAAUUUCCACAUUCAACUCCUGUGGUGUGUACUUUUUGAUGACCUUGGAUUUUGCCUUCAUGAUGUUUGGCAGUGUUGCAUACCUUGGUUGGUUCAGUCUCAAAUCAGUGGUGAUUACUGCAGGCAAGUCUAAACACAAAGUCUCAAGACCACCAUCCACUUCUCUUUCUACAGUUACUAGUUGUUUCUCCCUGUCAAGCAAAACCUUAGAAGCAAAUGUCCCCUGAGGCCAACCUAGCAACCCUGCCACCAUUUGCCCUGUUUGAUUGCAAUCAUCGUCAAUGGCCUGUUUCCCCAUAAUAAUCAGCCGGGGUUUCUCCACUUCCACAAGCGCUUUCAAAACCUUAGCCACAGUAAGCGGAUACAAAGCUCCUGUAGCUUCCACGUGAAUCCCUCUAUCAGCGCCCAUGGCUAGACCGGUUCGCAGCGUAUCAACACACUGCGCCGAACCCAUACUCACAGCGACAACCUCGGAUGCCAAUCCCGCCUCCUUGAUCCGGAGAGCCUCUUCCAAAGCAAUCUCACAAAAUGGGUUCAUUGACAUCUUAACAUUCUGCGUCUCUACUCCGCUCUUGUCGGGUUUUACUCUGAUCUUCACAGCAUAAUCGACGACUCGCUUCA
This 759-nucleotide unclassified non-coding RNA is filed under the name Hevea brasiliensis (rubber tree). The record is from RNAcentral. Lineage: Eukaryota; Viridiplantae; Streptophyta; Magnoliopsida; Malpighiales; Euphorbiaceae.